UGAAAAGCAAAACGCGUAUGGACUUCCACCGUACAUUAAACAAUCAUUUCAAUUGGAUUGUUUGUCGCAAGAUCACUUGCGUCCCACACAAGUCAACAACAUUUAAUAAACAUCUUGUCUCAAACCUAAUUUGAAUUAGGCCUUGCCCACAAUCAGGAUUAUUUGCGGAAUGGAAGAUAUUAACGAUAUCGAGGUCGUCUGCCACUUCAUGCCAGCAAUUCCAGAAGAUACAAUGUUAGUCUACUUUACGCGAUGCCAGUCUGCCGUCGAUCUUAUCAGGCUCUGCAUCCUUGGCCGGUGCAGUCACCGACGAGGCGUUAUCCGAUGAGGAAUGUGAAACCCCCUGUACGUAUACUGAAUGUAUCCUGAGUGUAUUCCUGUCCGGUAUACCUUCAGUAUACGUAACAGGAGGCUACACCAAACAACGUUGGACUUCUUCUUCGGCGCAAUUCCCCAAUUAUCAAUAAUCUUCGUGCUAUAAAAUAUAGAACUUUAAGAAGAUAGAGAGAAUAAUAAAAAUAGAAACAGAAUAUAAUAUAUUUCAUUUACCUAAGACGCCGCAAAUUGUAUCUUGAAUGUAAUUUAAAAACUCUCACAAUCAAUGUAAUAAAUUUUGCUACAUAUGUUCAUAUACUGACAUUCGUGAAUUCAUUAAUUGUACAAAGUGUACCAAUAAAAGAAUUAUGCAUACAA
Long non-coding RNA from Temnothorax curvispinosus, 693 nucleotides. RefSeq lists it as uncharacterized. Lineage: Eukaryota; Metazoa; Arthropoda; Insecta; Hymenoptera; Formicidae. The transcript has 2 exons. The record is from RefSeq and is a predicted model, not a curated record.